Molecule: ribosomal RNA, 253 nt
Filed under: uncultured bacterium
Lineage: Bacteria
Description: partial 16S ribosomal RNA
Rfam family: Bacterial small subunit ribosomal RNA
Source: RNAcentral
UACGAAGGGGGCUAGCGUUGCUCGGAAUUACUGGGCGUAAAGCGCACGUAGGCGGAUUGUUAAGUCGGGGGUGAAACCCUGGAGCUCAACUCCAGAACUGCCUUCGAUACUGGCGAUCUCGAGUUCGGGAGAGGUGAGUGGAACUGCGAGUGUAGAGGUGAAAUUCGUAGAUAUUCGCAAGAACACCAGUGGCGAAGGCGGCUCACUGGCCCGAUACUGACGCUGAGGCGCGAAAGCGUGGGGAGCAAACAGG